Molecule: ribosomal RNA, 484 nt
Filed under: uncultured bacterium
Lineage: Bacteria
Description: partial 16S ribosomal RNA
Rfam family: Bacterial small subunit ribosomal RNA
Source: RNAcentral
AUUGAACGCUGGCGGCAGGCCUAACACAUGCAAGUCGAGCGGAUGAAGGGAGCUUGCUCCUGGAUUCAGCGGCGGACGGGUGAGUAAUGCCUAGGAAUCUGCCUGGUAGUUGGGGAUAACGUCCGGAAACGGGCGCUAAUACCGCAUACGUCCUGAGGGAGAAAGGGGGGGAUCUUCGGACCUCACGCUAUCAGAUGAGCCUAGGUCGGAUUAGCUAGUUGGUGGGGUAAAGGCCUACCAAGGCGACGAUCCGUAACUGGUCUGAGAGGAUGAUCAGUCACACUGGAACUGAGACACGGUCCAGACUCCUACGGGAGGCAGCAGUGGGGAAUAUUGGACAAUGGGCGAAAGCCUGAUCCAGCCAUGCCGCGUGUGUGAAGAAGGUCUUCGGAUUGUAAAGCACUUUAAGUUGGGAGGAAGGGCAGUAAGUUAAUACCUGGCUGUUUUGACGUUACCAACAGAAAAAGCACCGGCUAACUUCGUG